UACGAACCGUCCGAACGUUAUUCGGUAUCACUGGGCUUAAAGCGUGCGUAGGCGGCCUGGUAGGUGAGAUGUGAAAGCCCACGGCUCAACCGUGGAAUUGCGUUUCAAACCACCAGACUGGAGGAUGGCAGGGGUGAUGGGAACUGAUGGUAGAGCGGUGAAAUGCGUUGAUAUCAUCAGGAACACCGGUGGCGAAGGCGCAUCACUGGGCCAUUUCUGACGCUGAGGCACGAAAGCUAGGGUAGCGAAC
RNAcentral lists this ribosomal RNA (250 nucleotides) under uncultured prokaryote. RNAcentral's name for it is "partial 16S ribosomal RNA". It matches the Rfam family "Bacterial small subunit ribosomal RNA", at positions 524 to 773 of the family's 1533-position model. The record is from RNAcentral.